GUCAGACUUCUUGCAAGACAUAAGGAGCUGCAGCGUGAAGUAAAGGUAUGGCACUGUAGGUCGACCGCCUCAACGACACCUUCGAGCACCAAAUGCGCUACCUAAAGAUGCAGGUAGUGGCUACCGUGCGUCGUCAAGGACUACCGAGUUCGUGACCACGGCGCGACUCCCUGAAACAGGGGCGAACUGACAUUUCAAGCAGCCUACUCAAGUAGACAUUUUUCUUGGAUGUAUUUUUUCUUGAAGUUGUUUUUGUUGCUACUUUACCAUAUGUGCAAUCAGAUGUUAAUAAGUUUGGUUACCGCCAAUUGCCCCA
Long non-coding RNA from Dermacentor andersoni, 316 nucleotides. RefSeq lists it as uncharacterized. The record is from RefSeq and is a predicted model, not a curated record. Lineage: Eukaryota; Metazoa; Arthropoda; Arachnida; Ixodida; Ixodidae.